Molecule: ribosomal RNA, 481 nt
Filed under: uncultured bacterium
Lineage: Bacteria
Description: partial 16S ribosomal RNA
Rfam family: Bacterial small subunit ribosomal RNA
Source: RNAcentral
GAUGAACGCUGGCGGCGUGCUUAACACAUGCAAGUCGAACGAAGCACUCUAUUUUAUUUCCUUCGGGACUGAUUCUUUUGUGACUGAGUGGCGGACGGGUCAGUAACUCGUGGUUAACCUGCCUUGUACAGGGGGAGAACAGUUGCAAACGGCUGCUAAUACCGCAUAAUCGCACAGCAUCGCAUGAUGCAGUGUGAAAAACUCCGGUGGUAUAAGAUGGACCCGCGUUGGAUUAGCGAGUUGGUGAGGUAACGGCCCACCAAGGCGACGAUCCAGAGCCGAGCGGGGAGGGGGACCGGCCACAUUGGAACUGAGACACGGACCACAAUCGGACGCAGGGCUGGAGUGGAGAGUAUUGCACACUGGGCGCAGACCUGAUGCAGCCACGCCGGGUGAGAGAAGAAGUAGGUCGGUAUGUAAAGCUCUAUGAGCAGGAGAGAUAAUGACGGUACCUGACUAAGAAGCACCGGCUAACUACGUG